GUGGGGCUUGCAUAUCACCCGGAAGGGGAGGAACCAGGUUUUCGUCAGAGGAGUUCUUGAAUGACCUCAGACCAGAUUGAAUGACCUCAGACCAGAAGGAAUAGGCCAGCAGCGAGAACACAGCCUAGAGCAGGCUAAGCGUCAUCAAAAAGUCAGACAAAGGGCUAAAGAUGCAGCGUCAAGAGCCAGGAGACUUUCCCGAGAAGAAGAUGAGAAGCCAUGCGAGCUGCUCUCUAUCAUGAAAAGCCAAAGCUGGGUCCCCAAGCAGGGAAAUGUGCGGCAGCUCCUGUGUUUAGAUCCCAGCUGCCAAAUCUGUGAGGCUGCGACUGAAGAGAUUCAGCAGUUAGUGCAGAGUGAGAAAAGUCAGCUCUCCCCUGCUUUUUGGGGACUGAACCAGGGUUCUGCUCACUCUGCACACCUGGAGACGUUACCCAUGUCUUUUGAACAGAAUAUGGAGCUCUGUUCCAGGCACACCAGACCUCAUCCACGGGUGCCUGGAAACCAAACACUAACACAACUAACGGGACACUUAACACAGUUGACCAACACAUUCGGGGUUCAAGAAUGCUAGACUGAUCGUCUCCAGCUAGACCAAAAUUUUCAUCUCGCCAACAUGCCCAUGGUCUCAGAGACUGUGACUUCUUCAAGGCUCAAGGAACCUAUGGUUUUAAUGAUUGAGGAAACAAUAGUGCAAAGCAAAGCAAAGCUUGACCAGGAAAGCCAAGACCUUCAUCACGUGAAGAACUGUGUCUUUAUUACCCCUGGACCCAAACUUGACACAUACUAUGUCCUUACAUAUGGACUCAAUGCUGUCUUCCCAUCUGCCAUUACUUAGUCCUAAAGUCCGUGGGCUUCUUGAACUACAGGUAAAAAAAUGCAUACAUUUCCAGAAGUGGGGUCGUCCGAGACGUGUGGAGGAGUCCCUGAGGCAGCUCAUGCCAGACCCAACAUUAUUUCGUCGAUCUCGAGAAAAUCCAUCUUCCUGCACUCUGAGCAGCAGUUCUAAGGUCAUUGAGGACAGAACUGGGAUCGUUUCCCACAAGACCAGCAGCUUGUAUUCGGCAGGCCAGCCCGUCCAGACCUUCUGGGUUUUCAAAUGGCCUGUUAUAAACCUGCAACAAGGAAGGCCCUGGCACCAAAUUCAUACUUGCUUGCCCUCUCAUGAAGGUGAACAUCUAAGGAAUUUCUAUCCACUCCCCAGGGCAAAAGCUAAUGACUCAGGGGACAAUCUUCAGAGUGAAUAUUAUAGCCAGUUAUUCUGUGGCCUUCCAUCUCUUCACAGUGAGUCCUUGGAUGUUACUUACUCUCGGGCCUUUUCUUACCCAAAACACCAUGUAAGUCAGCCUUUCCCUCUUCCCCGACCUCUCUGAAUGGCAAGACUCCCUGUGAGCGUGAAGGAGCACAGAUUACUGUCCCGUUCCUGUCGCUGGCUGAGUGUGAAGCACUGGAACGCCACCUCCUAAAGAAACAACUCAGCAAGCUUCAGUGGGGCCUGCCAGCUCUCCUCCUCCAAAACCAGCGCCGAAUGCUGUGUGAAGCACCCAGUGAGGCUAAGACAGUAAAAACUUCCUUGGCAAGGAAGCCCUUUUUACAUCCCACCAGGGACAUCUUCCCAGAGCACGCAGGAAGGCUGCUGGAAUUCCACCUGCAGAAGCAUCUGAUUCACCUCCGCUGGGGGCUGCCCCAGAGGAUCCAGCGCUCCAUGAAUAUGCUGCUCUCCUCAACAGACCCGCAGUCCCUGCCCUGUGGCAGCAGUAGCUUACCCAAUGUGAGCAUCUCACAGCCCGGGAAACCAGAGGCCAAUGGGCCUGGUGACAUGUUCUCACUCACAGCGGGCAAAAGGGACAAUCCCCAUGCCACACUUGUUUGCCAAGACAAGGGAAAUGUUGAAAAGCCAUGUUGAUUCCAAAUGUGAACAGAUCCGGGAGGGCAAGGUCCCGGCCCAAGUCUGGAAAUCUUGGGAAUGCAAAAUUCCUGGAAGCUUAGCAACAGUGGCUCCCUUCCCUUGGAUUCCACAAGGCCAAUGCAGGAAGUUACAGGCAGAAAGUAAAAGUGACCCUGACUUACUUCACAAAGUUGUUCCCUGGAAACCAAAGACCCUCAGCCAGGAGACACAAACCUUAUCUGGUACUCUCUUUGAACACUGUAAGAAGCCCCAAUCCCUGCCUAAGGAAACCAUUAAGAAACUGGAGACAACUUUACAUCAUAAGUAUCUGGCCUUCCUGUCAGGCCUGCCUGCCCUUUACUGUGUAGCUCUCUCUAGGCCUGCAUCCCCAGCAGUCACUAGCCAACCUAGACUCAGAGAGAAGAUGCCCAAAGCUGUCAAAAGCCCAUCAAAUGCUCUGACUCAAAUAACCCCACUUGAGCCCUGCGCUCAGGAUGACAGUGGGGUGUCUGCGGACACUGCAGAAGAGUUCCAGCCUGGAGCAGAGGCGGACAGAAGGACAGAGAAGGUGCCUGCAGAGAGUCAGCCUCCCCCAUGCAGACCCUACCCAAUAAACACACAUAUCUUGGCCAAACUGAAUUUCCACCUGAAAAAAAAGAUCCUAGCAAUGCAGUUUGGGAUUUCUGAAAAGGAAAAGAGAGAAUACAAGGAGCUGGGUACAGCCGACCUAGAGAGCGAAUCCAUCCAGGAAUUUCUCAGAAGUCUACACAUGUCAGAGAGCACACUGCUUCAGGAACAGCCUGUCGCAUGCCCAUCUCUGCCAGCCCCAAAUGCAAAAGGGGUCCACCCUAAAAAACAGCCAGCUUCUGCAGUACAGGAUGUGUGUCAGGCGCAAAGGCCUCCUCCUUCCAAAGCAGUGCCCCAUAGUUCUGCCCAGCAGAGCUCCAAGGCCUCGCAAUCCCAAAGGGAUAAGACCCAAGUCUGUGUUGACAUGGAAGCUGGAGGGAAAAGGUUCAACCUAGAGAAAUCCAAAGUCGUGGGGGACCUUGGAGAAGGGGACGCAGGUCUUGGGUUUUCCCUGGUCAGUCAAAAGACACGCCAGGAUGGAGAGCAGGAGAAGAGGCUCCUGCACAGACCACUCCAGGGCUCCUCACAACAGGGUCACACCUUUCAUCUUGAGGAUGCCUGUCCACACAGUCCCCGGGAGUCCCCUGAGCUCCAGUUCCCAGACCCACCUCCAGAAGUCUUCAUGGAGACAGACUCUGAGCAGGACAUGGAAGACAGUCAAAGCGAGGAAUCCAUUGUCCCAGAUCGUCCUCUGAGAAGUCAGUGAUGGCCUCCUUAUUAACUGCUCCCCAUAUUGUAGACAGUAAGCUCCGGCCUCGCUCCCGGCAGCUUGGCUCUGUCUCAAUAUUAGGCAACUCCCGCCAUUGCCCUCGGCACUGUCCUAGGUUGGCUUAUGCCACUCACCACAGAAACCUACCCUAGCUCCCAGGGUUUACUUCAGAAAUGCUCUUCUGGUAUUGGAGACCGCCCUGCAUGGUGACAGUUUCUAGGCUCCCCAACCUCUGUAUCCCUUUAAGAGCACAGCAUUGUCAUUUUCUUUGAUGAACAGGUAGGGACUGCACUACCCAAAAUGUAUUUUCUAUCUCCGAAUGAGUUGUCUGUCGUCUUUGUCUCUGCUGUACAUUAUUAAGAGAAGGUAUGAAGGAAAUAAAAAUGCCCUCAUCCUGGGAAGGAGACUUGAACUU
This is an RNA transcript of Mus musculus (house mouse), 3636 nucleotides long. It is a transcript of the gene named predicted gene 7819, with no coding region annotated. The record is from RefSeq and is marked validated. The transcript is spliced from 5 exons. Lineage: Eukaryota; Metazoa; Chordata; Mammalia; Rodentia; Muridae.